UUGGAUCUCUUAAUUUUUUGGAUAUGUCGUGCUAUUCACCCAUUUUGUGUGUUCAUGAAAUUGUGGAUACAGUUUGUUUUUUGAUCCGUCCGUGAAUACAAUCUAUGAUUAUGCCAAUGCAAUAGUGGACUUAAAAUCUUUACAGUUAAGGACUUUAGUACCAGCACACUUGUCAUUUGAAGAGGAUUGUGCAAGGAUCUUGCGUGGCUUGAGACUGGCUG
Molecule: unclassified non-coding RNA, 221 nt
Filed under: Hevea brasiliensis (rubber tree)
Lineage: Eukaryota; Viridiplantae; Streptophyta; Magnoliopsida; Malpighiales; Euphorbiaceae
Source: RNAcentral